CCUACGGGUGGCAGCAGUGGGGAAUAUUGGGCAAUGGGCGCAAGCCUGACCCAGCAACGCCGCGUGAAGGAAGAAGGCCUUCGGGUUGUAAACUUCUUUUCUGAGGGACGAAGAAAGUGACGGUACCUCAGGAAUAAGCCACGGCUAACUACGUGCCAGCAGCCGCGGCAAUACGUAGGUGGCAAGCGUUAUCCGGAUUUAUUGGGUGUAAAGGGCGUGUAGGCGGGAAAGCAAGUCAGAUGUGAAAACUCAGGGCUCAACCCUGGGCCUGCAUUUGAAACUGGUUUUCUUGAGUGAUGGAGAGGCAAUCGGAAUUCGGUGUGUAGCGGUGAAAUGCGUAGAUAUACGGAGGAACACCUGUGGCGAAGGCAGAUUGCUGGACAGUAACUGACGCUGAGGCGCGAAAGCGUGGGGAGCGAACAGGAUUAGAUACCCGUGUAGUC
RNAcentral lists this ribosomal RNA (443 nucleotides) under uncultured bacterium. Its description in RNAcentral is "partial 16S ribosomal RNA". It matches the Rfam family "Bacterial small subunit ribosomal RNA", at positions 338 to 795 of the family's 1533-position model. The record is from RNAcentral.